This 5299-nucleotide ribosomal RNA is filed under the name Acidimicrobiia bacterium. RNAcentral's name for it is "23S ribosomal RNA". The stretch from base 1 to 4293 matches the Rfam family "Bacterial large subunit ribosomal RNA". Lineage: Bacteria; Bacillati; Actinomycetota; Acidimicrobiia. The record is from RNAcentral.
AUCCAAGCUACGAAGAGCCAAUGGUGGAUGCCUUGGCGCCAGAUGCCGAAGAAGGACGUGGGUGGCUGCGAAAAGCCACGGGGAGCUGCCGACCAAGCGGAUCCGUGGAUGUCCGAAUGGGGAAACCCGGCAGGGGUCAUGCCCUGUCACGCCGACCUGAACACAUAGGGCCGGCCGAGGCAACCGGGGGAAUUGAAACAUCUCAGUACCCCGAGGAGAGGAAAGCAACAGCGACUCCCUGAGUAGCGGCGAGCGAAACGGGAAGAGCCCAAACCGUCACAGUGGUACAGCCUGCCGGCGAUGCUGCGACGGGGUCGUGGGACCCACCUGGAGCGACGGCAGUCGUUCCGAGGAGUUACAAAGCUGAUCGCUAGUGGAAGCGCUCUGGAAAGGCGCGCCGCAGAGGGUAAGAGCCCCGUACGCGAAAGCAGUCAGCCUCCUGGUGGAGUUCCCGAGUAGCACGGGAUCCGGGAAAGCCCGUGUGAAUCUGCGAGGACCACCUCGCAAGGCUAAGUACAAGCUGGCGACCGAUAGCGAACUAGUACCGUGAGGGAAAGGUGAAAAGUACCCCGGGAGGGGAGUGAAAUAGUACCUGAAACCAUUGGCUUACAAGCAGUCAGAGCGUCGUUGUCGGGCUUCGGCCCGGCAGCCGUGAUGGCGUGCCUUUUGAAGAAUGAGCCGGCGAGUUACCGUUUGUGGCGAGGUUAACCCGAGAGGGGGGAGCCGGAGCGAAAGCGAGUCUGAACAGGGCGUUCAGUCGCAGGCGGUAGACCCGAAGCCGAGUGAUCUAUCCAUGGGCAGGCUGAAGCGAGGGUAAGACCUCGUGAAGGGCCGAACCCACCAAGGUUGAAAACUUGGGGGAUGACCUGUGGAUAGGGGUGAAAGGCCAAGCAAACUCGGUGAUAGCUGGUUCUCCCCGAAAUGCAUUUGGGUGCAGCGUCGCGUGUUCAGUACCGGAGGUAGAGCACUGAUUGGUCAAGGGGGCCUACAAGCUUACCAAAAUCAGUCAAACUCCGAAUACCGGUACUCCACAGCGCGGCAGUGAGACCAUGGGGGAUAAGCUUCAUGGUCGAGAGGGAAACAGCCCAGAACGCCAGCUAAGGCCCCUAAUUCCAUGCUCAGUGGCAAACGAUGUGGGAUUGCCCAGACAGCCAGGAGGUUGGCUUAGAAGCAGCCACCCUUGAAAGAGUGCGUAACAGCUCACUGGUCGAGUGGUCCUGCGCGGACAAUGUAACGGGGCUCAAGCAUGGAGCCGAAGCUGCGUCGUCGUAUACACCUCCGGGUGUGCACGUCGGGUAGGGGAGCGUCGAUCUUGCCGUGAAGCGGGUGCGUAAGCACACGUGGAGCGAGGUCGAGUGCGAAUGCCGGUAUGAGUAGCGAAAGAGGGGGGGAGGAACCCCUCCGCCGAAUGCCCAAGGGUUCCUGGGGAAGGCUCAUCCGCCCAGGGUUAGUCGGGAGCUAAGGCAAGGCCGCAAGGCGUAGUCGAUGCACAACAGGUUGAUAUUCCUGUACCACCGUGUCCGCGCUCAACCCUAUGGCGACUGAUCAGGGGCUGGUCCUUCGGGACCGAACCUGUCCCAAUCGUCGGACGGGUAGCGAAGGGGAGACGCAGGAGGGUACGUCAGCCCGGGCGAUGGUUGUCCCGGGGCAAGCGUGUAGGGGGUCCGAUAGGCAAAUCCGUCGGACACACACCCCGAGACGCGAUGCCGAUCCGCUUCAGGAGAAGUGACUGAUCCCACGCUGCCGAGAAAAACCUCUAGUCAGCUGGCACGGUGCCCGUACCCCAAACCAACUCAGGUGGGCACGUAGAGAAUACGAAGGCGAUCGAGAUAACUCUGGUUAAGGAACUCGGCAAAUUGCCCCCGUAACUUCGGGAGAAGGGGGGCCCUAGUAGGGUGACGGACUUCGCGUCCAGAGCCCGAGCGGGCCGCAGUGACCAGGGCCAAGCGACUGUUUACUAAAAACACAGGUGCAUGCUAACUCGAAAGAGGAUGUAUAUGCACUGACGCCUGCCCGGUGCCGGAAGGUUACGUGGAAGGGUUAGCUUCGGCGAAGCUCUGAAACUAAGCCCCGGUAAACGGCGGCCGUAACUAUAACGGUCCUAAGGUAAAGAGCCCUCACGUGCGAGGGCGUUGCCCCUCCAUACGGUGACGUGUGGAAUUAGCAGUUGGCUAUAUGCUGGAAAUCCCGUUGUAUCCGGCGGUACUCGUUCACUGUCACACCUGAGUUCUAGGGUGCAACAGUGGGCAGUCACAAUCCGUCCGGUGCGGAGAAUCAGCAGGAAAGGCCAGAUGCCUUGGAGUGGGCCGUCGGCUUCGUCGACGGCGAAGGCUGUUUCUCGAUCUCGGUGGUGCGAAACCGUACAUGCCGACUCGGCUGGCAAGUCCAGCAUGAGUUUUCGGUCGUACAGGCCGCACCAUCACGCUCCGCCCUCGAGUUCCUCCGGGAGCUCUUCGGGUGCGGAACGCUGAUCGAGAAUCGCCGCCACGACAACCAUCGAGACACUCUCCUCCGCUUCUCUGUGAAGCGGAGGCGGGAUCUUGUGGAUGUGGUGGUGCCGUUCUUCGAAGAACGUCCACUCAGAACCGCGAAGCGUCACGACUUCGAGCGGUUCGCCCAGGUUCUCCAGAGCAUGGAGGCCGGCGAGCAUCUCGAGGAAGACGGGCUCCGGCGAAUUGCUCAGGAGACUGAGCUGAUGAACCGGAGGCAGCGGUCUCGGUAUCUGGAAUCCUCAGAGGCCAUACGCCAACCGACUCGAACGACAUCGAGUUGAAGAUAUGGUCCUAGCCUCAUGGCGACAUGGGGGCUCACUAGAGCGAAAUUCCUUGUCGGGUAAGUGAAUUGCCCUGCGCGGAGGUGACUCCGUGCGAACACCCGCUCAUAACGGCGGAACCCUCAGUAGCUGUCCUGUACAAGGCGGGACGAGAGCUGCCGGGCGACGCCGUGGGAAGUCCUCUGCCGCAUCUGCGGUAUGACCCCGUAACGACUGAUCCCCUUCGGGGGAGAGGCCUCGGACGCUGUCACACCCGAUCCAUAUGGUGAGGGCGUGGCAAAUCUAUGGACGAGGCAACACGCGGGCUCUCGAAACGACAGUGUCACCGACCUGCCGUCAUACCUAUCCGGGUACUUCGACGGUGAGGGAUGCUUCACGGUCUCGAUCGCACCCCGUCGCACUCUCCGAGUGCGGUGGGAAGUGCGGCCGAGUGCUUCGGUCAGCCAGAACGCGGACCGCUCCGAGGUGUUGGACGAGAUCCAGCAGUACUUCGGUUGCGGAACGAUUCGGCCCGACCCUGGCGACAAGACCGUGAAGUGGGAGGUUCGCAGCCUCCGCCCGCUCCUGGAGCGGGUCGUUCCCCACUUUCGGCAGUACCCGCUCCGAUCGAGCAAACAGCAGGACUUCGAGCGUUUUUUCGAGGUCUGCGAGCUGAUGGCUCGAGGUGAGCACUUGGUAUCGGCCGGUCUGAUCCGGAUCGCGACGUGUGCGCAGGCGAUGAACCCCAGUGGUCGUCGCCGGUACCACAUCGAAGAGAUCCUGGAGACGCUGAACGUCGAGAUGAAGGCAUAGUCUGCCCCGUUGGAAACAACGGAAUAAGGCGAAGUUCCGACCUGCACGAAUGGCGCAACGACUUGGCUACUGUCUCAACCAGAGACUCGGCGAAAUUGCACGACGAGUAAAGAUGCUCGUUGCCCGCAGAAGGACGGAAAGACCCCGUGGACCUUUACUGUAGUUUGAUGUUGGGUUUCGGUACGGAUUGUGUAGGAUAGGUGGGAGGCUUGGAAGCUCGGGCGUUAGCUCGAGUGGAGCCAAUCUUGAAAUACCACCCUGUUCGUAUUGAGGCUCUAACCUGGACCCGUAAUCCGGGUCAGGAACAGCGUCAGGCAGGCAGUUUGACUGGGGCGGUCGCCUCCCAAAGAGUAACGGAGGCGCCCAAAGGUUCCCUCAGCCUGGUCGGCCAUCAGGCGUCGAGUGCAAAGGCACAAGGGAGCUUAACUGCGAGACCAACAAGUCGAGCAGAUGCGAAAGCAGGGCUUAGUGACCCGGCCGUGGCGUGUGGAAGCGCGGUCGAUUAACGGAUAAAAGGUACCCCGGGGAUAACAGGCUUAUCUUGCCCAAGAGUUCACAUCGACGGCAAGGUUUGGCACCUCGAUGUCGGCUCGUCGCAUCCUGGGGGUGAAGCAUCUCCCAAGGGUUGGGCUGUUCGCCCAUUAAAGCGGUACGCGAGCUGGGUUUAGAACGUCGUGAGACAGUGGAAUGAACGCGCUGUCUAAAAAUUCGGCUAUAUGCUGGAAACUCCGAGUAUCUGGCGGUACUCGUUCACUGUCACACCCGGUGUUUAGGGUGGUGACGUGAGCAGUGAAAAACCGACCAGUGCGGACAAUCAGCAGGGAAGGCUUGAGGCCUACCUGAGCGGAUUUGUCGACGGAGAAGGAUCAUUUUCGGUCGGUGUACAACGACGCACCGACCUGGCGUUCGGUUUUCAACUGGUACCCGAGUUUCGGGUAUCACAGAAUGCCGAGCGUGUGACCGUUCUGGAGAUCAUGCGACGUGAGCUCGGCUGCGGCCGGCUCAUGCUCAACGAUCGCCAUCGCGACUCCGACAGGACUCACGUCCUGGUGGUGCGCAGGCGAUCGGAUCUUCUGGACUCGGUCAUACCCUUCUUCCGAAGAAAUCCUCUCCUGUCCGAGAAACGCCAUACGUUCGAGACCUUCGCCGAGAUCGUCACGUCGAUGAACAGACGUGUCCAUCUCGAAGCGAAGGGGUUCGAAUCGUUGGUACGCCGGGCCUUCACCAUGAAUGGUGGAGGACGGUACCGACGCUGGCGACUCGAGGACGUGGUAGGUCCUGAGAACCCUCAGAGACUGCACGCCGAACACACCGAACAGGUGUGAAGAUACAGUCCGAGCUGCAUGGCGACAUGCAGAGUCAGGCAGAAAUGACCUGGCCGUCGGUUCCAUCGUGAACUCCCUUGCGGAGUCACUGUGGAGCCGUGGUAACAGAACUGUCGGUCCCUAUCCUCUGCGGGUGUAGGAGAUUUGAGGGGAGCUGUCCCUAGUACGAGAGGACCGGGACGGACGCAGCUCUCGUGUGCCAGUUGUUCCGCCAGGAGCACGGCUGGUUGGCGACCUGCGGAAAGGAUAAGCGCUGAAGGCAUCUAAGCGCGAAGCCUGCCUCAAAACGAGAUCUCCCACCGGGUUAACCGGGUAAGGCCCCUGGUAGACCACCAGGUUGAUAGGCCGGAGGUGUAAGCACGGCAACGUGUUCAGCCGACCGGUACUAAUCGGCCGAGGGCUUGGACUU